GAUGAACGCUGGCGGCGUGCUUACCACAUGCAAGUCGAACGAAGCAUUUAAAACAGAUUACUUCGGUUUGAAGUCUUUUAUGACUGAGUGGCGGACGGGUGAGUAACGCGGGGGUAACCUGCCUCAUACAGGGGGAUAGCAGCUGGAAACGGCUGGUAAUACCGCAUAAGCGCACAGUACCACAUGGUACAGUGUGAAAAACUCCGGUGGUAUGAGAUGGACCCGCGUCUGAUUAGCUUGUUGGCGGGGUAACGGCCCACCAAGGCGACAAUCAGUACCCGACCUGAGAGGGUGACCGGCCACAUUGGGACUGAGACACGGCCCAAACUCCUACGGGAGGCAGCAGUGGGGAAUAUUGCACAAUGGAGGAAACUCUGAUGCACCGACGCCGCGUGAGUGAAGAAGUAGUUCGCUAUGUAAAGCUCUAUCAGCAGGGAAGAUAGUGACGGUACCUGACUAAAAAGCUCCGGCUAAAUACGUG
RNAcentral lists this ribosomal RNA (481 nucleotides) under uncultured bacterium. RNAcentral's name for it is "bacterial SSU rRNA". It matches the Rfam family "Bacterial small subunit ribosomal RNA", at positions 28 to 507 of the family's 1533-position model. The record is from RNAcentral.